AACGAACGCUGGCGGCAUGCCUAACACAUGCAAGUCGAACGAAGCCUUCGGGCUUAGUGGCGCACGGGUGCGUAACACGUGGGAAUCUGCCCUUCGGUUCGGAAUAACAGUUAGAAAUGACUGCUAAUACCGGAUGAUGACGAAAGUCCAAAGAUUUAUCGCCGAAGGAUGAGCCCGCGUAGGAUUAGGUAGUUGGUAGGGUAAUGGCCUACCAAGCCGACGAUCCUUAGCUGGUCUGAGAGGAUGAUCAGCCACACUGGGACUGAGACACGGCCCAGACUCCUACGGGAGGCAGCAGUGGGGAAUAUUGGACAAUGGGCGAAAGCCUGAUCCGGCAAUGCCGCGUGAGUGAUGAAGGCCUUAGGGUUGUAAAGCUCUUUACCAGGGAUGAUAAUGACAGUACCUGGAGAAUAAGCUCCGGCUAACUCCGUG
RNAcentral lists this ribosomal RNA (432 nucleotides) under uncultured bacterium. Its description in RNAcentral is "bacterial SSU rRNA". It matches the Rfam family "Bacterial small subunit ribosomal RNA", at positions 29 to 507 of the family's 1533-position model. The record is from RNAcentral.